AAUUAAAACACUAUUGGCUGCUCUAGUAAUAUGUGGUGCACCUAAAACUCAAGUGAGAAAAAGGGGAAUUAAUAUAUGGGUAUUACUAGCAUUCGUGGUAGUUAGCUCUGGUAUCAAAAUAUGGUAAACACAAGGGUAUUAACAAAACUAGUACACAAUAAGUCUAGCAAUAAAAUUAUAUUUCUCAAUAAACAAUGUCUGAUAUUAUAUAAAAAAGAAGAUGUGG
RNAcentral lists this long non-coding RNA (226 nucleotides) under Mytilus galloprovincialis (Mediterranean mussel). The record is from RNAcentral. Lineage: Eukaryota; Metazoa; Mollusca; Bivalvia; Mytilida; Mytilidae.